Small nucleolar RNA from Quercus robur (English oak), 86 nucleotides. RefSeq annotates it as small nucleolar RNA snoR53Y. The record is from RefSeq and is a predicted model, not a curated record. The transcript has a single exon. NCBI's taxonomy places the organism in Eukaryota, Viridiplantae, Streptophyta, Magnoliopsida, Fagales, Fagaceae.
UUUCCCUAUGAUGCUUCAGUAUGAAACCAUGCUAAUGCUGAUGAGUCUGUGAUUGAUCCUUUUUUCAUCCAUUUGCUGAGGGAACG